RNAcentral lists this long non-coding RNA (5430 nucleotides) under Hordeum vulgare. Its description in RNAcentral is "long non-coding RNA (HVUL_LNC007849)". Lineage: Eukaryota; Viridiplantae; Streptophyta; Magnoliopsida; Poales; Poaceae. The record is from RNAcentral.
UGGAGGCCAAGGAGGUUCUCCUCUCGGACAUGCAAACAAUAAUUACGGAUGACACCAACGUGCAGACUAUAAGUCCCCCUCAAUCCCGAUAUAGUUGUGUCACACACUCUGCAUUUACAUUAUUAGUAUGUAAUAGAUUCUGAAAGUUGAUUCAAGUUUGUAGUGCUUCAAAUCUGAAAGUCGAUAGAGUAAUUUGUCAAUUGAUUUGUACUGUAGUGCUUCAAGACUGAUUGCUCCGUGUUUGAUUCAUGUCUCAAAGUUGAUACAAUCAUUUUGUCAACUAAUUCCUGUUGUAGUGCUUCAAGUCUGAUUGGUCCCUGUUUGAUUGAAGUUUGGAAGUUGAUUGUUUGGUAGUAUUUUUAUUUUCUUCCGCUUUGGGAGUUUCUAUAGGUAUUAUUAAGUUGCUAUAGAUGUAUCAUGAGUUUGGAUAUCCACUUGCACUUCAAUGACGGUGCAGAGCUCAAGUAGAUGUUGAUGGAGGACAUGAGGGGAGGAGGAGGAGGGACUUCUCAAAUACAAAAUUUAUUAUCCAAAAAUAGACAAUCUAACCCGGUGCAACGCACGGGCACUUUUACUAGUGAGCAUCUACAAAAAUUCAGUGUUAAAAAAGACCAACGAAGUUCCUCCCCACCAUGAAAAAACUAUGCCUAUGAUCAUCAUAAACAUAAUCCGUCAUGUAUUUCCUCUUGCAAUAAAUAUUAAUCAACAUAAGCACAGAGGAUUCAGACAAUGGCAAGAAAUUGAAGUUAAUGGAUACAACAAAAUCAUAUGUCACAUAUGUGCACAGAGGAUUCAGACUGUCAUAAGCUUGGUUUGGACAUCUGCCACCUAUUUGCAGCAAAAAGGAGGACAUCUGCACAUGAACUGGUCAUCUUGUAACUCUUCCUGGGAUGUAUUGUCUCCUUCUGUACUGUCUCAAUCUCCGGUGCAUCCAACUCCUGAUCCAGAACUUGGCAAAGAUCCAUAACAACACUUUCAUGGACCUUUUGCCAAAGAUGUGCACGGAAAAUCUGAAUCAGAGAGAUCUUCAGGGUUGGAAUUUUAUCAUGCAUGAAUAUCCCAGUCAGAUCUAGCUGAACCUAGAAACCAACAUAUACGUUUGCACGAGCCGCCGCCCUGCUCAAAGUUUUGGGCGAAAAUCAUUCAGCUAACUUUUGAGAUUUAGACAACACCCGAGAGGCAUGGAGGAUCAAGCGAAAAACUGACUGAAUUGAGGCGAAUCUGAGACGGACGGGGAGUACGGACCUGCUUGCCGAGGAUGAGGAGGCCGGGGCUCUCCUGGAGCGCUAGGGCGCGGAGGAUCUUGGCAACGGCGAGCGAGAGGAGCGGGCGGGACGGGUCGGGUCGUGGAGGAUGUGGACGACGCGGUCGGCGCCCAUGGCGAGCGCGGUGCGGAGCGUGGCGCGGAGGAUCUUGGCGACGGCAAGCGGGAGGAUCUUGACGCACCUCGCCGGAGGACGGUGCCGGAGAGGAGCGUGCUCAUGGCCGCGGUGGAGAACGGGGCCGGAGAGAGGAUCCCGCGGUGGUGGCCGCGAUGGAGGACGGGGCCGGAGAGAGGAUCCCGCGAUGGUGGUCGCGGUGGAGGACACGGCCGUGCCCGUGCUCGUGGCCGCGGUGGAGGACGGGGUGGAUAAUGUGAGCUGGGGUGUUUUUUUAUAAAACUGAAACGUUUUUUGUUCACUCAAAUCAGGAGUGCGGGUUGAAUACCCAAUACAUCAAGGGCUUUUUUGCAAAAUGCCAUGACGGACGACCAGAAACCCUAUUUGCUUUAUUAUUAGGGAGAGAUUAAGUUGCUAUAGAUGUAUCAUGUGUUUGGAUAUCCACUUGCACUUCAAUGAUGGUGCAGAGCUCAAGUAGAUGUUGAUGGAGGACACGAGGGGAGGAGGAGGAGGGACUUCUCAAAUACAAAAUUUAUUAUCCAAAAAUAGACAAUCUAACCCGGUACAACGCACGGACACUUUUACUGAUGAGCAUUUACAAAAAUUCAGUGUUAAAAAAGACCAACGAAGUUCCUCCCCACCAUGAAAAAACUAUGCAUAUGAUCAUCAUAAGCGUAAUCCGUCAUGUAUUUCCUCCGUUACUAAAUAUAAGUCUUUCUAAAGAUUUUAAUAUUUCCUCCGUUCCUAAAUAUAAGUCUUUCUAAAGAUUUUAAUAUGAACUACAUAUGGAGUAGGGCGUUUUGAAGCUCUGCCUCCAUGGAGGCCUGUUUUUGAAACCCCCUAAAUUCAUCAAAAUUCCUAUUUUUGCAUUUUAAAAUAAUUUGAAAAAAUACGAAUAUACAUGAAGGCAUAACACACAUGUGUGCAAACUUUUAAAAUAAAAUACGUUGAAACGAGGUGUGCAAAAAAGACAAUUUUAUGGCUUUUUAACACAUGAUACUAUUCAUCCCAAAUGUCCAUGUAUUUGUUCUUUUUGCAUGUUCGCAUCUUAAGGUAUUUCAUCCUGAAUUUUCGCACAUAUAUACAUUUCAUCCUUGUAUACUUGCAUAUAUUUUUUAGAUUUUUUUGAAACAAAAAAUUUGAAUUUUGAUUUUUUCUAAAAUAAAGGGUGCCAUUGAACCCUAGCUCCAAAAGGCAUUUUCGCUACAUACGGAUGUAUAUAAACAUAUUUUAAAGUAUAGAUUCACUUAUUUUCCUCCUAGUUCAUAUUAAAAUCUUUAAAAAGACUUAUAUUUAGAAACGGAGGAAGUAGGUCAGUACGAGCAACCACAAACAGACCAUCAUUCUCAUCUUUAAGACAAACUUAUAAAUUACAUGGUCCACGCUGUUAGCAUCUCUCAUAACCUUGGCGAAUAGAAAUUCAGUAGGCGAAGCAUGACCGCACGCACCUGUUUCUUCAAAUUAACUAAGGCUGCCCGUCAAGGGAAUCACGACACAAAAACUAAUGAACAAACCCAAAUGACCAGUCUUAAGAAUAAUAAGGUUAGGCAAGGUAACCAAAAUAUAGAGGUCCGCUAGACAAGCAUGUAACCUGGGCGGAUCUACAUGGGCUGACCCUGAUGCACACAACUCAAAUUAGGCUAGCACUAUCACUACAUGGAACCAGGAAAAACAUAAGCACAGCAUCUAGUUUGAUGAUACUGUGAGAGGGGCUCAGAUUACUUGAUGAUCCAGUUUCUCUAGUGACCCAAAUGUGGCUGAUCUUAAGAUGGGACAAAAGUAAGGACAUCAAAUGUUCCACCCAAAUGUUGAAGACAUGUUAGGUUCUGUCUUAGUUAGAAAAUUACUACAGCAUGCAUAAGAUAUGUCAGCAUACGUAGGCGAGCAGAACCAGAAGUCCAUUUUAAUUUUUACCCAAACAAAAGUAUUACUGAAUAUGUGUUUGGUACCUUGCAAUCUUAAUGAUAAUGCAUGACAGUAAGAGAUAAAUUCUAAAAUCCCUCAAAUUGGCUCUUGAAGGUGUUCAAGUUGUGCCCAUCUCCUCCUUCAGACAACCAUGUUAAAUGGCACCUAAAUCAAAUAUAUUACACAAAGAAACUAAAUGAUUAUGUUUCUAGGGACGACCAAUAUUUCCCAGUUGCAACGAUGAGCAUUAACGACAGGUUAACGAUGAACUCACAACACACAAGGUCCAUGAUGCAUGGGACUCUUGAACAUCCUGUGGACUAAAACAAACAAACAAACACCGGAGAUACAAAGAAAAUACCACAACAGAGUCUAUCACACAUCUCUCACCAGUAAAACAGUAGCUAAGUAUAUAGUGCAUUUGCACGCACAGUUUAACCUGAAACCACCACGACAAACCAAGACAGUUUUUAAGGUAUCUGAAUUUUGCAAUGACCAACAGCCACAACUCAUACCCUGGCAAUUGCUAAGAACUCACCAGUCCUUCCAUACCAAACUCUACUGGACUGGUACAUCCAGAGUGGCACCAAAACAAUUUUAGUUUCAAAAUCAGAUGAAUGAACUCAGCACAUGUUAUAAUUUCCUUUCUUUUGAUUGAUAGGCACUGCCCUAUAGACCACAUAUAGGUGAUACGGCUUUUCAGGACCACGAAAGCAGAUAUCCAGACACCAAGAAGGAAGCUAAUUUUUUUGUCAUAAAACAUUCAGGUAACACAACAUCUAGCAUGUCAUACUCAGAAGUUGAGCAACUGAUAUCAUGAAACAUGUCUGCGACACAUGGACCAGUAAGUAACAUGACUACUUGUUCUUCCCGGUCUUCUUCUUACCCCCGGUGGUUGCUGGUGCGCUGCUGAUCUGCGGGCGGGGGUGGCGAUCAGCCUCGGCGGCGUCGAGCCACUUGAGCGGGUGCCGGUUGAAGAAGGGCCAGUUGGGGACGGUGACGAGCGCCGUGAGGACCACCCCACCGGCGUACACGAGCAGCAUGAGCUGGAAGUCGGCCAUCGCGUACCCGACCAGGAACGCCGCCACCGCUGACGCCACCAGCAGCACCUGCAUCAGCAUCUCCGCGCUCUUCUGCCCCCUGCCAAUCCAUCUAGGCACCAAGAAAGGAGAGGACGGGGUCAGGUGGUUCGAUUGGUCCAAGAAAAGGGGCGGAUCGUGGAUGGAUCUGGGGCGCCGGGACGUGGUUUCCCCGGAUCCAUGUCAACAUAAGAGGAAUUCUUGCAGGAUUAUGGGUGGAGAAGAGGAGGACGAGGAUGACGGGUGCGGGCAAUUACCUUGCUUGCCGCCUUGCCGCCGCGCUGGAGUCGCCGGAGGGGAAGAGGACCGUGAUGUGGAGUAGGGAGAUCUGUUGUGCGUCCGGAGCGCCUCCGCCUGCCUAUCGGAAAUAGGUGCGUCUAGGUGCAGAGGGGAUGAAUUCGACGCUGGGAAAAUCCUAUUUGUCGCUUGAUGCGGCGAAUAGUUGUACAAACGCACAUGCAUAGGCCAAUUGGGGAGGCCCAGCAACUCCAACCCAGCGAUCCAGAUUAAAACGGAUUUUGUCCGUCUUUUAUCCAUUUGUAUCGGUUUAUUUUACAGUUUUUUAUUUUGAGUAGUACUUUAUUAAAAAAACAAGAGUUGUCGGUGCUUCCGCAGUCGCAAUCAAAACAGUGGCGUCGCGACCUGCCCGAGGAUCGUCGGCUCUUUGUCGCCGCCAACGCCAGCGAGCUUUCCCUCGCGCUCGCCUCUCAUUCCCAUCGGCGUCGUCGCCUCGUCAUCAGCAUCAGGCACACGGGCCGGAUCCACGUCGUCGCCUACGCCAGCGCGUCCUACCCCGUUCGCCUCCGUUCUCGUCGGCACCGUUGCCGGCACCUACAGCGAGCGCAUGGGCUGGAUCCGUGUCGCCGUGUGCUCCUGGCCGCCGGUAGGAGCGCGUCCGCUGGCGAUGGAAAUGGUCAUGCCACCAACGCCGCCUUGCAGGAGUGGGUCGAUGAGGAUGGAGUAGUAGGCGGCGGUGGGCGGCACGGCCUUGUAUAUUUUAAUGCGUGCAUGUGAGAGGGCCUUUGUACUGUAUAAUGCAAGGCGUUUAUGAAAGGUGCUUUAAAAAA